AACUACAGCCAUGCUACUCUGAACAAGCCUAAUUCUGUCUGAUCUCAGAAGCUAAGCAGGGUCGGGCCUGGUUAGUACUUGUAUGGGAGACCACCUACGAAGACCUGGGUGCUGUAAGAG
RNAcentral lists this ribosomal RNA (120 nucleotides) under Pteropus alecto (black flying fox). The record is from RNAcentral. Lineage: Eukaryota; Metazoa; Chordata; Mammalia; Chiroptera; Pteropodidae.